RNAcentral lists this ribosomal RNA (494 nucleotides) under uncultured bacterium. RNAcentral describes it as "partial 16S ribosomal RNA". It matches the Rfam family "Bacterial small subunit ribosomal RNA", at positions 28 to 523 of the family's 1533-position model. The record is from RNAcentral.
GAUGAACGCUGGCGGCGUGCCUAACACAUGCAAGUCGAACGGAGUUAUUAUUAUGAAGUUUUCGGAUGGAUUAAUAAUAACUUAGUGGCGGACGGGUGAGUAACGCGUGGGUAACCUGCCUCAUACAGGGGGAUAACAGUUGGAAACGGCUGCUAAAACCGCAUAACAUUGCGAUGUCGCAUGACAAUGCAAUUAAAUAUUUAUAGGUAUGAGAUGGGCCCGCGUCUGAUUAGCUAGUUGGUGGGGUAAUGGCAUACCAAGGCGACGAUAAGUAUCCAGCUUGAGAGAGUAACCGGCCACAUUGGGACUGAGACACGGCCCAAACUCCUACGGGAGGCAGCAGUGGGGAAUAUUGCACAAUGGGGGAAACCCUGAUGCAGCGACGCCGCGUGAGUGAAGAAGUAUUUCGGUAUGUAAAGCUCUAUCAGCAGGGAAGAAAAUGACGGUACCUGACUGAGAAGCCCCGGCUAACUACGUGCCAGCCGCCGCCGUAA